RNAcentral lists this ribosomal RNA (422 nucleotides) under uncultured prokaryote. Its description in RNAcentral is "bacterial SSU rRNA". It matches the Rfam family "Bacterial small subunit ribosomal RNA", at positions 355 to 774 of the family's 1533-position model. The record is from RNAcentral.
UGAGGAAUAUUGGUCAAUGGGCGAGAGCCUGAACCAGCCAAGUCGCGUGAAGGAAGAAGGUUCUAUGGAUUGUAAACUUCUUUUGCAGGGGAAUAAAGGACGGUACGUGUACUGUUUUGUAUGUACCUUGCGAAUAAGGAUCGGCUAACUCCGUGCCAGCAGCCGCGGUAAUACGGAGGGUCCGAGCGUUAUCCGGAUUUAUUGGGUUUAAAGGGUGCGUAGGUGGAUUGGUAAGUCAGUGGUGAAAGUGUGUAGCUCAACUGAAAAAUUGCCGUGGAAACUGGCGAUCUUGAGUGCAAAUGAGGUAGGCGGAAUGUGUUGUGUAGCGGUGAAAUGCUUAGAUAUAACACAGAACUCCGAUUGCGAAGGCAGCUUACUGGGAUGCAACUGACACUGAUGCACGAAAGCGUGGGUAUCAAACA